UACAGAGGGUGCAAGCGUUGUUCGGAAUUAUUGGGCGUAAAGCGCGUGUAGGCGGCUAUGCAAGUCGGGUGUGAAAGCCCUCAGCUUAACUGAGGAAGUGCGCCCGAAACUGCUUGGCUUGAGUACCGGAGAGGAUGGCGGAAUUCCCCAAGUAGAGGUGAAAUUCGUAGAUAUGGGGAGGAACACCGGUGGCGAAGGCGGCCAUCUGGACGGAUACUGACGCUGAGACGCGAAGGCGUGGGUAGCAAACAGG
RNAcentral lists this ribosomal RNA (253 nucleotides) under uncultured bacterium. RNAcentral's name for it is "partial 16S ribosomal RNA". It matches the Rfam family "Bacterial small subunit ribosomal RNA", at positions 524 to 776 of the family's 1533-position model. The record is from RNAcentral.